This 1471-nucleotide ribosomal RNA is filed under the name Arachis stenosperma. Its description in RNAcentral is "bacterial LSU rRNA". It matches the Rfam family "Bacterial large subunit ribosomal RNA", at positions 570 to 2102 of the family's 2925-position model. Lineage: Eukaryota; Viridiplantae; Streptophyta; Magnoliopsida; Fabales; Fabaceae. The record is from RNAcentral.
UGUGUUGGAGCCCCGUAAGGGGUGACAGCUUGCCUUUUGCAUAAUGAGUCUGCGAGUUAUUGUCAGUGGCCAGCCUAAGGUUCUCUGAACUGAAGGCGAAGGGAAACCGAGUGCCAAUAGCGCGAUCAGUCGCUGGCAAUAGACCCGAAGCGGAGGUGAUCUACUCUUGAGCAGGUUGAAGCUGCAGUAACAUGCAGUGAAGGACCGAACUCGUGGAUGUUGAAAAAUCCUGAGAUGACUUGAGAGUAGGAGCGAAAGACUAAUCAAACCCCGUGAUAGCUGGUUCUCUCCGAAAUCGCUUGAGGGCGAGUCUUCUGGAAGUACCCGGCGGAGGUAGAGCACUGAAUGGCUUAGGGGCCCCACCAGGCUGCCAAAACCAAUCAAACUCCGAAUACCGUCGGUCCCAUUAUCAGAGGAAUCAGGCAGUAGGUGAUAAGAUCAAUUGCCGAGAGGGCAACAGCCCAGACCAUCAGCUAAGGUGCCUAAAUGUGAUUAAGUGGAAAGGAUGUGACGUUGCUUAGACAGUGAGGAUGUUGGCUUAGAGGCAGCCAUCAUUUAAACAGUGCGUAAUAGCUGACUCAUCGAGCGAUGUCGCGCCGAAAAUGAUUGGCGAUUAAAUCACAUACCGAAGCUAUGGAUUGAAACGGUUUUCGAACUGUUUCAGUGGUAGGAGAGCGUAAUCAACGCUGCGAAGCUGGACGGAAACGGAAAGUGGAGCGUUGAUUAGUGAGAAUGCAGACACGAGUAGCGAUAAAACAGGUGAGAAUCCUGUUCGCCGUAAACCCAAGGUUUCCUGGGCCAGGUUCGUCCUCCCAGGGUUAGCCGGGAGCUAAGAUGAGACCGUAAGGUGUAAUCGAUGCACAGCAGGUUAAAUAUUCCUGCGCUUGCCCGGGUUAAGACUGUGAAUGACACAUGGGAUCACAUCAACUAGACAAUUGAAUGUUGAGCUUAGGGUUCGCCCGAAGCGUAUUGGUGGGGUCCUGUGUCGAGAAAAGUUCGCAGUUGUUCCCCGGACAACCCGUACCGUAAACCGACACAGGUGGGUGAGUGUAAGCGCACUCAGGCGCGCGAGAGAAACCUCUCUAAGGAACUCGGCACAUUAGCCUCGUAACUUCGGGAGAAGAGGUGCUCACUUCGGUGAGCCUCAGUAAAUUGCGUUUAGCGACUGUUUAACAAAAACACAGCACUCUGCCAAGUCGUGAAGACGACGUAUAGGGUGUGACACGUGACCAAUGCGGAAAGAUCAAACCAUCUUGUUAGCCGCAAGGCGAAGCUCGGUGGCCAAGUCCCCGUGAAUGUCGGCCGUAACUAUAACGGUCCUAAGGUAGCGAAAUUCCUUGUCGGGUAAGUUCCGACCUGCACGAAUCUUGUAACGACUGAACGACUGUCUCGGAGAGGUUCUCGGCGAAACUGUAACGGCGGUGAAGAUGCCGCCUGCCCGCAGUAGGACGGAAAGACCCUAUGCACCUUU